Molecule: ribosomal RNA, 465 nt
Filed under: uncultured bacterium
Lineage: Bacteria
Description: partial 16S ribosomal RNA
Rfam family: Bacterial small subunit ribosomal RNA
Source: RNAcentral
GACGAACGCUGGCGGCGUGCUUAACACAUGCAAGUCGAACGGUGAACCUGCUUCGGUGGGGGAUCCGUGGCGAACGGGCGAGUAACACGUGGGCAACCUGCCCUCAGCUCUGGGAUAACUCAAAGAAAUUGGGGCUAAUACUGGAUAUGACCGCUGACCGCAUGGUCUGGUGGUGGAAAGAUUUAUCGGCUGGGGAUGGGCCCGCGGCCUAUCAGCUUGUUGGUGGGGUAGUGGCCUACCAAGGCGACGACGGGUAGCCGGCCUGAGAGGGUGACCGGCCACACUGGGACUGAGACACGGCCCAGACUCCUACGGGAGGCAGCAGUGGGGAAUAUUGCGCAAUGGGCGAAAGCCUGACGCAGCGACGCCGCGUGGGGGAUGACGGCCUUCGGGUUGUAAACCGCUUUCAGCAGUGACGAAGCGAGAGUGACGGUACCUGCAGAAGAAGCACCGGCCAACUACGUG